This 393-nucleotide ribosomal RNA is filed under the name uncultured bacterium. Its description in RNAcentral is "partial 16S ribosomal RNA". It matches the Rfam family "Bacterial small subunit ribosomal RNA", at positions 523 to 918 of the family's 1533-position model. The record is from RNAcentral.
AUACGGAGGAUCCGAGCGUUAUCCGGAUUUAUUGGGUUUAAAGGGUGCGCAGGCGGGAGAUUAAGUCGGCGGUGAAAUUUUGCAGCUCAACUGUAAAAGUGCCUUCGAAACUGGUUUCCUUGAGUGUAGAUGAAGUAGGCGGAAUUUGUGGUGUAGCGGUGAAAUGCAUAGAUAUCACGAGGAACUCCGAUUGCGCAGGCAGCUUACUAAACUACUACUGACGCUCAGGCACGAAGGCGUGGGGAUCAAACAGGAUUAGAAACCCUGGUAGUCCACGCAGUAAACGAUGAUUACUAGCUGUUUGCGAUACAAUGUAAGCGGCUGAGCGAAAGCGUUAAGUAAUCCACCUGGGGAGUACGUUCGCAAGAAUGAAACUCAAAGGAAUUGACGGGG